CCAGAGGGAGCAUGAGAAACGGCUACCACAUCUAAGGAAGGCAGCAGGCGCGUAAUUACCCAAUCCUGACUCAGGGAGGUAGUGACAAGAAAUAGCAAACCGGGAACCUCAUGGUUUCACGGUAUUGCAAUGAGAACAAUUUAAAACCCUUAGCGAGAAUCAAGUGGAGGACAAGUCUGGUGCCAGCACCCGCGGUAAUUCCAGCUCCACUAGCGUAUAUUAAAGUUGUUGCAGUUAAAAAGCUCGUAGUUGAACCUCUGUCUGGGGCUAGUUUUGGCUUUGGUCAGGCUAGUUCUAGGCAUCCGCCUACAAGACUUAGAGGGCAUUCAGUUGUUCACUAGGAGGAGUAGGCAUUUUACUUUGAAAAAAUUAGAGUGUUUAAGGCAGGCAAUCGCCCGCAUAUAUUAGCAUGGAAUAAUAGAAUAGGACACUUUUCCAUUUCGUUGGUUAUUGGAAUCGUGUAAUGAUUAAUAGGGACAGUUGUGGGCAUUUGUAUUUAAUUGUCAGAGGUGAAAUUCUUGGAUUUAUUAAAGACAAACUAACGCGAAAGCAUUUGCCAAGGAUGUUUUCAUUAAUCAAGAACGAAAGUUAGGGGAUCAAAGACGAUCAGAUACCGUCCUAGUCUUAACUAUAAACUAUUCCGACUCAAUGUUUGACUGGCUUAUAUAACCAGUUGAGCGUUGUAUGAGAAAUCAAAGUCUUUAGGUUCUGGGGGGAGUAUGGUUGCAAAGCUGAAACUUAAAGGAAUUGACGGAAGAGCACAACCAGGAGUGGAUUCUGCGGCUUAAUUUGACUCAACACGGGGAAACUUACCAGGUUAAAACAAUAGUGGGAUUGACAGUUUGAGAGCGCUUUCUUGAUUGGUUGGGUGGUGGUGCAUGGCCGUUCUUAGUUGGUGGAGUGAUUUGUCUGCUUAAUUGCGUUAACGAACGAGACCUUAACCUGCUUACUAGACUGGCGAUCAUCAAUCGUUAGCUCUUCUUAGAGGGACUUUGGUUGUUUUAACUCCAAGGAAGUUUGAGGCAAUAACAGGUCUGUGAUGCCCUUAGAUAUCCUGGGCCGCACGCGUCAUACAAUGACUAGUUCAGAAAGUUUUCUCCUGACCCGAAAGGGGAUGGGUAAUCUUGAUAAUACUAGUCGUGUUAGGGAUCGAUCUUUGCAAUUAUAGAUCUUGAACGAGGAAUUCCUAGUAAGUGCGGUUCAUCAGACCGUACUGAUUACGUCCCUGCUCUUUGUACACACCGCCCGUCGCUUCUACCGAGUGGGUGGUCCGGUGAGAUAAUUGAACUUCGCAGGUAACUGAGAGGAAAGAUUAUCAAACCUAUCCACCUCGAGGAAGAAGAAGUCGUAACAAGGUU
RNAcentral lists this ribosomal RNA (1358 nucleotides) under metagenome. Its description in RNAcentral is "SSU rRNA". It matches the Rfam family "Eukaryotic small subunit ribosomal RNA", at positions 385 to 1801 of the family's 1831-position model. The record is from RNAcentral.